GCAAGAGAGAAUCGAACACGCAACCUCAAGAUUUAAUUGAUUUGAUACGAAACCACUCAACCACUUAAACAACAUUGAUUAUUACUAUUUUUUUUGUUUUUAUAUAUUACUGGGGCAUGUGCCACCACUAUCACCAACGUGGGUCCGCCCCUGCUGGUAGGAGGAAAAAGGUAAAGAGUCUGCUUAGGUAAGCUCAUACGAAAGCGUCGGAAUAAUAGUAUUGCCGAUAUCCUGAUAUCACUAAAUCCCCCAAAAUCACUCGCUUACCACCUUAUCCAUUGCUUUUCAUAAUUGCCUCAGCCACACACACUGAG
RNAcentral lists this long non-coding RNA (314 nucleotides) under Capsella rubella. Its description in RNAcentral is "long non-coding RNA (CRUB_LNC001903)". The record is from RNAcentral. Lineage: Eukaryota; Viridiplantae; Streptophyta; Magnoliopsida; Brassicales; Brassicaceae.